UUUUUUAAGACUUAACAUCAAUAUCUUUGACGAGUCUCCUAUUUUUAGGGACUUAUGUCAUUUUCUAACGUGUCUAAAGACU
This is a non-coding RNA of Populus trichocarpa (black cottonwood), 82 nucleotides long. Lineage: Eukaryota; Viridiplantae; Streptophyta; Magnoliopsida; Malpighiales; Salicaceae. The record is from Rfam.